CCUACGGGAGGCAGCAGUAGGGAAUCUUCCACAAUGGGCGAAAGCCUGAUGGAGCAACGCCGCGUGGGUGAAGAAGGUCUUCGGAUCGUAAAACCCUGUUGUUAGAGAAGAAAACGCGUGAGCGUAACUGUUCACGUUUCGACGGUAUCUAACCAGAAAGCCACGGCUGACUACGUCCCAGCAGCCGCGGUAAUAAGUAGGAGGCAAGCGUUAUCCGGAUUUAUUGGGCGUAAAGGGAACGGAGGCGGUCUUUUAGGUCUGAUGUGAAAGCCCUCGGCUUAACCGGAGUAGUGCAUUGGAAACUGUGAGACUAGAGAGCAGAAGUGGUGAGUGGAAUGCAAUGUGUAGCGGUGAAAUGCUUAGAUAU
Molecule: ribosomal RNA, 367 nt
Filed under: uncultured bacterium
Lineage: Bacteria
Description: partial 16S ribosomal RNA
Rfam family: Bacterial small subunit ribosomal RNA
Source: RNAcentral